AACGUGGUUACCGUCUGCUGGCAAUGAAUGGAGCACGUGUUUGCAAUCUGGUAGGUGGAGCAACGAGGCACCUCUCUGUGAUCCCAUCUACUGCCCUCAGCCUGAAGCACCCCCACAUGGUCGAAUUCUGCGAGAUAAUGGUGAAAAAUCUUCUGAGGAGUGGGAGGAAGAGGAAGUAGAGAUGUUGCAACCACUUACAUCGUUUUACAAGACAAAGGGCAAGAAGACCAUAACGAAAAGUAAAAAGACAGCAGCAAAAGGCAAGAAACAGGGAAGAAAGUUUUCAGAAAGAAUUGUUGAAAAAUUGUACCAUGUGGACGAUGAAGUGAAGUGGGACUGUGUUGAAGGCUAUCAGGCUGAGGGACCAACUACUGGCAUAUGCACAACAGAAGGAGUGUGGUCAAAUGGCCCACCCCGCUGCAGGAGAGUGUCUUGUGGCUCCCCUCAUCUCCCAGACUAUGCGAUCA
This is a non-coding RNA of Cherax quadricarinatus, 467 nucleotides long. The record is from RefSeq and is a predicted model, not a curated record. NCBI's taxonomy places the organism in Eukaryota, Metazoa, Arthropoda, Malacostraca, Decapoda, Parastacidae.